GGUCUCUUUGUGCCCUUGUCAAAACAGGAAUUGCACCACAACAGUUACAAACAAUAUCUGAAGUGACAGAGAACAAGAACUGUACACAACAAUCCAGUUACUACUUUGGUUUCUUGAAUGGAAACAAUAAGCCUAGGGACACAUAGAAAAUUAGCAUAAGAGAACCGCAGACAAUAAAAAUUCAUUAAGAUCAGAAAUUAACCAGUAAGUUAUGAGGAAACUCAGCAAUAAUGACUAAUUGGUAGAAGUAGAACCAAUGUCUGAAAUGCUAUUUCUAAUUCCUCAACACGUCCAAGCUGAAGCUGAGAUGAGCUCCUUUCGCUGCCAACAGAGAACCAGUGAAGACUGCCUCCUUUCAACAUGAAAUCCCCUAACAGGAGUUCGCUGCACCAAACACUCAGCUUG
Molecule: unclassified non-coding RNA, 405 nt
Filed under: Hevea brasiliensis (rubber tree)
Lineage: Eukaryota; Viridiplantae; Streptophyta; Magnoliopsida; Malpighiales; Euphorbiaceae
Source: RNAcentral